This is a long non-coding RNA of Lactuca sativa (garden lettuce), 447 nucleotides long. RefSeq lists it as uncharacterized. The record is from RefSeq and is a predicted model, not a curated record. NCBI's taxonomy places the organism in Eukaryota, Viridiplantae, Streptophyta, Magnoliopsida, Asterales, Asteraceae.
ACGCAAAAGAGAUUUUAAACUUAAAUGGACGCUAAUUUGAAAGCCAAAUCCUCAAAAUCUCCGCGAUUUUGAACGACUUCUUGAGGACGAGGCUUAUCUUCAGUUCUUCACUUCCCUUUGUCCUUUCGUUGAACAUUGUGUCAUUAGUGGAUACUACAGCAAACAAUGGAAAGAAGGGUUUGUUAUCAAAGCGGAAACAAUCACUCAGCAAGACUCAUUCACAGGUUGCUAGGUUCAGUGGGUAUUGAUCUCAAGACAUGUCUCUAGGAAGCCAACUACCAUUCUGAACAGGGGAAAUCUGGGAAGAGGGCAUUUUGGUCAUUUUAUUAUGAAUCAAUGUUAUUUAAUUGUUUCAUUUUUUAAUUUGUAUAAGCUACGAUGCUAUUUUACUUUUGCCAAUGCCAACUAUAAAUCUGUUCAUGGGCAAUAUAAUCAUUAAGUUAUGUA